AAGAAGUCAGGCCAGAUUAAGCCAUAGUACGGAAAGAGCUAUGCUGCCUGUGAGCCCCGUCCAAGGACGUUAAAUGAAGUCAGGCCGAAAGCCACGGCUUGAGCAAACCGUGCUGCCUGUGGCUCCAU
RNAcentral lists this long non-coding RNA (128 nucleotides) under dengue virus type 1. Its description in RNAcentral is "dengue virus type I partial sfRNA1". Lineage: Riboviria; Orthornavirae; Kitrinoviricota; Flasuviricetes; Amarillovirales; Flaviviridae. The record is from RNAcentral.